CACCCCUCUUCACUAUGUCUUCCACACCCACAAGUGCUAGCCCCAAACUCUACUCCGUCGCUUUUGGGUUCACCCCAAUUUCUGGGUUCUUUCUCCAGGGGUUUUGCUAGGGCUUUGGGCGGUGACCAACAUUCUGAUCCUGAGCCUGAUGGUGAUGUUGGUGACAAUGGUGUGGGUGAUUAUGAUGGUGCUUUGGUUAAUUCUGGUGCAGAUACCGAAGAGAAAUCUAGGGGUUUUUCUAGGGUUUCGCAGGGCGAAACAGAUUCUGAUCCUGAAACCGAUGGCGAUGAGAAUGUUGGGGGUGAUUUUGAUGAGGUGAAUGUUAAUUCGGGCGCGGAUCCUGAAGAGGUAAGUAGGGUAUGCAGG
This 366-nucleotide long non-coding RNA is filed under the name Vitis vinifera (wine grape). Its description in RNAcentral is "long non-coding RNA (VVIN_LNC003835)". Lineage: Eukaryota; Viridiplantae; Streptophyta; Magnoliopsida; Vitales; Vitaceae. The record is from RNAcentral.